AGAGUUUGAUCAUGGCUCAGGAUGAACGCUGGCGGCGUGCCUAAUACAUGCAAGUCGAGCGAACAGAUAAGGAGCUUGCUCCUUUGACGUUAGCGGCGGACGGGUGAGUAACACGUGGGUAACCUACCUAUAAGACUGGAAUAACUCCGGGAAACCGGGGCUAAUGCCGGAUAACAUUUAGAACCGCAUGGUUCUAAAGUGAAAGAUGGUUUUGCUAUCACUUAUAGAUGGACCCGCGCCGUAUUAGCUAGUUGGUAAGGUAACGGCUUACCAAGGCAACGAUACGUAGCCGACCUGAGAGGGUGAUCGGCCACACUGGAACUGAGACACGGUCCAGACUCCUACGGGAGGCAGCAGUAGGGAAUCUUCCGCAAUGGGCGAAAGCCUGACGGAGCAACGCCGCGUGAGUGAUGAAGGUCUUCGGAUCGUAAAACUCUGUUAUUAGGGAAGAACAAAUGUGUAAGUAACUAUGCACGUCUUGACGGUACCUAAUCAGAAAGCCACGGCUAACUACGUGCCAGCAGCCGCGGUAAUACGUAGGUGGCAAGCGUUAUCCGGAAUUAUUGGGCGUAAAGCGCGCGUAGGCGGUUUUUUAAGUCUGAUGUGAAAGCCCACGGCUCAACCGUGGAGGGUCAUUGGAAACUGGAAAACUUGAGUGCAGAAGAGGAAAGUGGAAUUCCAUGUGUAGCGGUGAAAUGCGCAGAGAUAUGGAGGAACACCAGUGGCGAAGGCGACUUUCUGGUCUGUAACUGACGCUGAUGUGCGAAAGCGUGGGGAUCAAACAGGAUUAGAUACCCUGGUAGUCC
RNAcentral lists this ribosomal RNA (806 nucleotides) under uncultured bacterium. RNAcentral's name for it is "bacterial SSU rRNA". It matches the Rfam family "Bacterial small subunit ribosomal RNA", at positions 8 to 796 of the family's 1533-position model. The record is from RNAcentral.